GACGAACGCCUUCGGCGUGCUUAACACAUGCAAGUCGAACGGAAAGGCCCUGCUUUUGUGGGGUGCUCGAGUGGCGAACGGGUGAGUAACACGUGAGUAACCUGCCCUUGACUUUGGGAUAACUUCAGGAAACUGGGGCUAAUACCGGAUAGGAGCUCCUGCUGCAUGGUGGGGGUUGGAAAGUUUCGGCGGUUGGGGAUGGACUCGCGGCUUAUCAGCUUGUUGGUGGGGUAGUGGCUUACCAAGGCUUUGACGGGUAGCCGGCCUGAGAGGGUGACCGGCCACAUUGGGACUGAGAUACGGCCCAGACUCCUACGGGAGGCAGCAGUGGGGAAUAUUGCACAAUGGGCGGAAGCCUGAUGCAGCAACGCCGCGUGCGGGAUGACGGCCUUCGGGUUGUAAACCGCUUUCGCCUGUGACGAAGCGUGAGUGACGGUAAUGGGUAAAGAAGCACCGGCUAACUACGUGCCAGCAGCCGCGGUGAUACGUAGGGUGCGAGCGUUGUCCGGAUUUAUUGGGCGUAAAGGGCUCGUAGGUGGUUGAUCGCGUCGGAAGUGUAAUCUUGGGGCUUAACCCUGAGCGUGCUUUCGAUACGGGUUGACUUGAGGAAGGUAGGGGAGAAUGGAAUUCCUGGUGGAGCGGUGGAAUGCGCAGAUAUCAGGAGGAACACCAGUGGCGAAGGCGGUUCUCUGGGCCUUUCCUGACGCUGAGGAGCGAAAGCGUGGGGAGCGAACAGGCUUAGAUACCCUGGUAGUCCACGCUGUAAACGGUGGGUACUAGGUGUGGGGUCCAUUCCACGGGUUCCGUGCCGUAGCUAACGCUUUAAGUACCCCGCCUGGGGAGUACGGCCGCAAGGCUAAAACUCAAAGGAAUUGACGGGGCCCCGCACAAGCGGCGGAGCAUGCGGAUUAAUUCGAUGCAACGCGUAGAACCUUACCUGGGUUUGACAUGGAUCGGGAGUGCUCAGAGAUGGGUGUGCCUCUUUUGGGGUCGGUUCACAGGUGGUGCAUGCCUGUCGUCAGCUCGUGUCGUGAGAUGUUGGGUUAAGUCCCGCAACGAGCGCAACCCUUGUUCACUGUUGCCAGCACGUUAUGGUGGGGACUCAGUGGAGACCGCCGGGGUCAACUCGGAGGAAGGUGGGGAUGACGUCAAGUCCUCAUGCCCCUUAUGUCCAGGGCUUCACGCAUGCUACAAUGGCUGGUACAGAGAGUGGCGAGCCUGUGAGGGUGAGCGAAUCUCGGAAAGCCGGUCUCAGUUCGGAUUGAGGUCUGCAACUCGACCUCAUGAAGUCGGAGUCGCUAGUAAUCGCAGAUCAGCAACGCUGCGGUGAAUACGUUCCCGGGGCU
This 1346-nucleotide ribosomal RNA is filed under the name uncultured bacterium. Its description in RNAcentral is "bacterial SSU rRNA". It matches the Rfam family "Bacterial small subunit ribosomal RNA", at positions 28 to 1381 of the family's 1533-position model. The record is from RNAcentral.